Pelobates cultripes (western spadefoot toad) is the source of this 169-nucleotide non-coding RNA. Lineage: Eukaryota; Metazoa; Chordata; Amphibia; Anura; Pelobatidae. The record is from the annotation of a GenBank genome assembly.
AUAGUGUUAAUUGCCUAGAACAGGGCUGUCCAACCUGCGGCCCCCCCAAGAUGUUGCUGAACUACAACUCCCAUGAUUAUCUGUUUCAUUGAAAGAAUCAUGGGAGUUGUAGUUCAGCAACAUCUGGGGGGCCGCAAGUUGGACAGCCCUGGUCUAGAACCAAUAAUAU